This 416-nucleotide long non-coding RNA is filed under the name Helianthus annuus (common sunflower). The record is from RNAcentral. Lineage: Eukaryota; Viridiplantae; Streptophyta; Magnoliopsida; Asterales; Asteraceae.
UAAUGAAGGUCGACCUGCGUUGCGGCGUCUGCGGCGGUGGACGACGGUGGUGGUUCACGGCUCGGGUUAUUUCAGUUUAGUCCGCACCGGUCAAACUGGUUCAAAUUGUGUUCGGGUUAGUUCACUCGGGUGAACUCAGGUGACUUGGUUCAGCUUGGUUCGGGUCUCGACUCGAGUUUCGGUCGACAUCAGUUCGGGUUCGGAAGUGGAGGUAGUCGUGGGUUACCCGUGUUUCGGUUCAAGACUUCAAGUUUAGUUUCAAUUCACUUGUUUCAGUCCAUGUUUGGGUCUCGGUUCAGCCUUCACCGAGUCAACUUGGUGUCUUGAGUUCCAGUUCAGUCAGAUUUCGGAUCGGGAUUCACGUCGGAGUUUAACGCGACUCGUUUCGGAUAAUCGCGUACGUUCGUUCUCUUGGA